This 72-nucleotide transfer RNA is filed under the name Stegodyphus mimosarum. It matches the Rfam family "tRNA". Rfam says of the family: Transfer RNA (tRNA) molecules are approximately 80 nucleotides in length. Their secondary structure includes four short double-helical elements and three loops (D, anti-codon, and T loops). Lineage: Eukaryota; Metazoa; Arthropoda; Arachnida; Araneae; Eresidae. The record is from Rfam by way of RNAcentral.
GCCUUCGUAGUGUAAUGGUUAGCACACUCGGCGCGUAUUCAAGACGUCCAGGUUCGAUUCCCGGCGAGGGCA